RNAcentral lists this ribosomal RNA (861 nucleotides) under Staphylococcus aureus. Its description in RNAcentral is "partial 23S ribosomal RNA". It matches the Rfam family "Bacterial large subunit ribosomal RNA", at positions 586 to 1452 of the family's 2925-position model. The record is from RNAcentral. Lineage: Bacteria; Bacillati; Bacillota; Bacilli; Caryophanales; Staphylococcaceae.
UUAAUGGGUGAUGGCGUGCCUUUUGUAGAAUGAACCGGCGAGUUACGAUUUGAUGCAAGGUUAAGCAGUAAAUGUGGAGCCGUAGCGAAAGCGAGUCUGAAUAGGGCGUUUAGUAUUUGGUCGUAGACCCGAAACCAGGUGAUCUACCCUUGGUCAGGUUGAAGUUCAGGUAACACUGAAUGGAGGACCGAACCGACUUACGUUGAAAAGUGAGCGGAUGAACUGAGGGUAGCGGAGAAAUUCCAAUCGAACCUGGAGAUAGCUGGUUCUCUCCGAAAUAGCUUUAGGGCUAGCCUCAAGUGAUGAUUAUUGGAGGUAGAGCACUGUUUGGACGAGGGGCCCCUCUCGGGUUACCGAAUUCAGACAAACUCCGAAUGCCAAUUAAUUUAACUUGGGAGUCAGAACAUGGGUGAUAAGGUCCGUGUUCGAAAGGGAAACAGCCCAGACCACCAGCUAAGGUCCCAAAAUAUAUGUUAAGUGGAAAAGGAUGUGGCGUUGCCCAGACAACUAGGAUGUUGGCUUAGAAGCAGCCAUCAUUUAAAGAGUGCGUAAUAGCUCACUAGUCGAGUGACACUGCGCCGAAAAUGUACCGGGGCUAAACAUAUUACCGAAGCUGUGGAUUGUCCUUUGGACAAUGGUAGGAGAGCGUUCUAAGGGCGUUGAAGCAUGAUCGUAAGGACAUGUGGAGCGCUUAGAAGUGAGAAUGCCGGUGUGAGUAGCGAAAGACGGGUGAGAAUCCCGUCCACCGAUUGACUAAGGUUUCCAGAGGAAGGCUCGUCCGCUCUGGGUUAGUCGGGUCCUAAGCUGAGGCCGACAGGCGUAGGCGAUGGAUAACAGGUUGAUAUUCCUGUACCACCUAUA